GAUGAACGCUGGCGGCGUGCUUAACACAUGCAAGUCGAACGGAAAGGCCUCUGCUUGCAGGGGUACUCGAGCGGCGAACGGGUGAGUAACACGUGGGUGAUCUGCCCUGCACUUCGGGAUAAGCCUGGGAAACUGGGUCUAAUACCGGAUAGGACAAUGGUUUGGAUGCUGUUGUGGAAAGUUUUUCGGUGUGGGAUGAGCUCGCGGCCUAUCAGCUUGUUGGUGGGGUAAUGGCCUUCCAAGGCGUCGACGGGUAGCCGGCCUGAGAGGGUGUACGGCCACAUUGGGACUGAGAUACGGCCCAGACUCCUACGGGAGGCAGCAGUGGGGAAUAUUGCACAAUGGGCGCAAGCCUGAUGCAGCGACGCCGCGUGGGGGAUGACGGCAUUCGGGUUGUAAACUCCUGUCGCUAGGGACGAAGCGUUUUUGUGACGGUACCUGGAGAAGAAGCACCGGCUAACUACGUG
RNAcentral lists this ribosomal RNA (467 nucleotides) under uncultured bacterium. Its description in RNAcentral is "partial 16S ribosomal RNA". It matches the Rfam family "Bacterial small subunit ribosomal RNA", at positions 28 to 507 of the family's 1533-position model. The record is from RNAcentral.